GACAUUGUCAGAGGCAGGCGUAAAGGUUUGAGGGUAAGAGAGAACCAGAGACAGACAAAGAUUAGAGAGACCGUGAGAGGGCAGUGAGAGACAGACACUGAUUGAUGGUGACAGACAAUGAGAGUGGUGAUAAGCUGGAAAGACAGCAUAGAAAUAAGAAAACGGUCUUAGACCAUCACUUAAAACAGAUAUUCACCAACACAUUAGACAGUCAGGAACACAUUUGAUACUGACAGUCAUUAGACUAUCCCUGCUGCAUUAGACAGUGGUAGAGCUUUAAGACAGCUAUGUUUAUAUUAGACAGUACCUGCUAAAAUUAGACAGUGACAGAGCUAUUUGACAGCCCAGUUUACAUUAGACAGUCACAGACCCAUUAGACGGCUUACUUUUCAUUAGAGGGUGACCGUGUCAUUAAACAUUUUUCCUUUACAUUAGACAGUCACAGACCCAUUAGAUGGCUCACUUUUCAUUAGAUAGUGACAGUGCCAUUAAACAUCUCCCUUCACAUUAGACAGUCACAGACCCAUUAGACGGCUCAUUUUUCAUUAGAUAGUGACAGUGCCAUUAAACAUCUCCCUUCACAUUAGACAGUCACAGACCCAUUAGACGGCUCAUUUUUCAUUAGAUAGUGACAGUGCCAUUAAACAUCUCCCCUUUACAUUAGACAGUCGCAGACCCAUUAGAUGGCUCACUUUUCAUUAGAGAGUAACCGUGCCAUUAAACAUCUCUCCUUUACAUUAGACAGUCAGAGACCCAUUAGACGGCUCACUUUUCAUUAGAGGGUGACCGUGUCAUUAAACAUCUCUCCUUUACAUUAGACAGUCAGAGACCCAUUAGACGGCUCACUUUUCAUUAGAGGGUGACCGUGUCAUUAAACAUCUCUCCUUUACAUUAGUCACAGACCCAUUAGACGGCUCACUUUUCAUUAGAGAGUGACCGUGUCAUUAAACAUCUCUCCUUUACAUUAGACAGUAACAGACCCAUUAGACGGCUCACUUUUUAUUAGAGAGUGACCGUGUCAUUAAACAUCUCUCCUUUACAUUAGACAGUCAGAGACCUAUUAGACGGCUCACUUUUCAUUAGAGGGUGACCGUGUCAUUAAACAUCUCUCCUUUACAUUAGACAGUCAGAGACCCAUUAGACGGCUCACUUUUCAUUAGAGGGUGACCGUGUCAUUAAACAUCUCUCCUUUACAUUAGACAGUCAGAGACCCAUUAGACGCCUCACUUUUCAAUAGAAAACACAGAGCCAUAAGACGGCCCACUAUAGAAUAGACAGCCCCCUUUACAUUUGAGAUGCUUCCUGCAGUUAUUGUUACACGGAAGGCAGAGGGGCCCCCUUUAAAAUACUGGCUCGCACUUCUAUCAGGAGACACAGAGACCAUUUGUUUGCUACUAGGGGACUCUAAUAGUCUUGUUCACCCCAACUCUGUCUUUGAUACGAGUGACCUGGAGGAGUGGAAGAAUUAUCGAUACAACACCACAGCUCUCAGUAGGUUACCCCACAAACACAUUAUGGAGAACCCCAAAUUAAAUAACUUGUCGUGACCCUUGUUCUUUCUUCUCAGGGAUAUGGUCGCUGACGUAUGAGGAGGAGUUUACCUGCCCUCUGUUUGUCACUGCUAACCGCGGUUAUGCAGACUGUGUCCAGCUGCUGCUCAGACUGGGGGCAGAUGUUGAGUUUUCUCCUGGCGGGGAGAGCGCUCUGCAUGGAGCUUGUGAGAACGCACACUUAGAGUGUGUAAAAAUCCUCCUACGCCAUGGAGCCAAUCCUAACGCUGAGUCCCAGGAUGGAACCCUAC
Molecule: long non-coding RNA, 1801 nt
Filed under: Pelobates cultripes (western spadefoot toad)
Lineage: Eukaryota; Metazoa; Chordata; Amphibia; Anura; Pelobatidae
Source: RNAcentral